This 242-nucleotide ribosomal RNA is filed under the name uncultured bacterium. Its description in RNAcentral is "partial 16S ribosomal RNA". It matches the Rfam family "Bacterial small subunit ribosomal RNA", at positions 524 to 764 of the family's 1533-position model. The record is from RNAcentral.
UACAGAGGUCUCAAGCGUUGUUCGGAUUCAUUGGGCGUAAAGGGCGCGUAGGCGGCGGGGUAAGUCGGGUGUGAAAUCUCAGAGCUCAACUCUGAAAACUGCACUCGAUACUGCUCUGCUUGAGGACUGGAGAGGAGACUGGAAUUCACGGUGUAGCAGUGAAAUGCGUAGAUAUCGUGAGGAAGACCAGUGGCGAAGGCGGGUCUCUGGACAGUUCCUGACGCUGAGGCGCGAAGGCGUGG